RNAcentral lists this ribosomal RNA (459 nucleotides) under Mycolicibacterium neoaurum. Its description in RNAcentral is "bacterial SSU rRNA". It matches the Rfam family "Bacterial small subunit ribosomal RNA", at positions 28 to 504 of the family's 1533-position model. Lineage: Bacteria; Bacillati; Actinomycetota; Actinomycetes; Mycobacteriales; Mycobacteriaceae. The record is from RNAcentral.
GACGAACGCUGGCGGCGUGCUUAACACAUGCAAGUCGAACGGAAAGGCCCUUCGGGGUACUCGAGUGGCGAACGGGUGAGUAACACGUGGGUGAUCUGCCCUGCACUUUGGGAUAAGCCUGGGAAACUGGGUCUAAUACCGAAUAUGAUCAUCGGCUUCAUGGUCGGUGGUGGAAAGCUUUUGCGGUGUGGGAUGGGCCCGCGGCCUAUCAGCUUGUUGGUGGGGUAAUGGCCUACCAAGGCGACGACGGGUAGCCGGCCUGAGAGGGUGACCGGCCACACUGGGACUGAGAUACGGCCCAGACUCCUACGGGAGGCAGCAGUGGGGAAUAUUGCACAAUGGGCGCAAGCCUGAUGCAGCGACGCCGCGUGAGGGAUGACGGCCUUCGGGUUGUAAACCUCUUUCAGCACAGACGAAGCGCAAGUGACGGUAUGUGCAGAAGAAGGACCGGCCAACUAC